AAUGGGGGAAACCCUGAUGCAGCGACGCCGCGUGAGUGAUGAAGCCCUUCGGGGUGUAAAGCUCUUUCGACAGGGACGAUAAUGACGGUACCUGGAGAAGAAGCUGCGGCUAACUACGUGCCAGCAGCCGCGGUAAUACGUAGGCAGCAAACGUUGUUCGGAGUUACUGGGCGUAAAGAGUGCGUAGGCGGUUCGCCAAGUUUGGUGUGAAAUCUCCCGGCUUAACUGGGAGGGUGCGCCGAAAACUGGCGGGCUUGAGUGUGGGAGAGGGAAGCGGAAUUCCUGGUGUAGCGGUGAAAUGCGUAGAUAUCAGGAGGAACACCGGUGGUGUAGACGGCUUCCUGGACCACAACUGACGCUGAGGCACGAAAGCGUGGGUAGCAAA
This 385-nucleotide ribosomal RNA is filed under the name uncultured bacterium. RNAcentral describes it as "bacterial SSU rRNA". It matches the Rfam family "Bacterial small subunit ribosomal RNA", at positions 370 to 772 of the family's 1533-position model. The record is from RNAcentral.